GAUGAACGCUGGCGGCAGGCCUAACACAUGCAAGUCGAGCGGUAACAGGAGGCAGCUUGCUGAUUCGCGGUGGCGACGGGGGCGGGGGUGAAAUGUGCGGGACGCAGCUUGAUGGCGGGGGGGAACUACUGGAAACGGGACCGAAUACCGCAGAAUGUUGCAAGUCCAAGGAGGGGGACUUGCAGGCCUCUUGCCGUCGGGUGGGACCGGGUGGGGUUCGAUUGGCGGUGGGGUAACGGCUCACCAAGGCGACGAUCCGCAGGUGGUCGGAGAGGAGGAGGAGCCACCCUGGAACUGAGCCACGGUCCAGACUCCUACGGGAGGCAGCAGUGGGGAAUAUUGCACAAUGGGCGCAAGCCUGACGCAGCCCAGCCGCGUGGCUGACGAAGGCCUUCGGGUUGUAAAUGUCUUUUAGCGUGGAGGAAGGAAGUAGUGGUAAACCCUUGGCCUAUUGACGGUACCCGAUGAAUAAGCACCGGCUAACUCCGUG
Molecule: ribosomal RNA, 490 nt
Filed under: uncultured bacterium
Lineage: Bacteria
Description: partial 16S ribosomal RNA
Rfam family: Bacterial small subunit ribosomal RNA
Source: RNAcentral